CACCUAGUCUAUGCCACAUCCUCAAGGAACUUCAGCAGUGACCAAUUUUGAAAAUACGCGUCAGCGAGAUUCAGUUAAAGUACAGAGAGCCGGCAAAAUUGGUGCCAGCCGCCGCGGUUAUACCAAUAGACUCAAAUUGAUUGUAUCGGCGUAAAGCGUGAUUAAAGGUUUCCCCCAUUAAAAUAGAACCCUCACUAAGCCGUGACACGCUUGUGCCUGAGAAAAUCAAAAACGUAAGUUAUUUUAAUUUUUCCCCCCCCCCCUUGAAUUCACGACAGUUAAGACACAAACUGGGAUUAGAUACCCCACUAUGCCUAACCGUAAACUUUAAAUUACAAUAUAAACGCCAGAGAACUACGAGCAAAGCUUAAAACUCAAAGGACUUGACGGUACCCCACAUCCACCUAGAGGAGCCUGUCCUAUAAUCGAUAACCCCCGCUUUACCUCACCAUUUUUAGUCGUCAGCCUGUAUACCUCCGUCGUCAGCUUACCACGUGAGCGACCCACAGUGAGCCUAAUGUCUACACGUCAACACGUCAGGUCAAGGUGCAGCUAACAAAAUGUGGAAGAGAUGGGCUACACUCUCUAAUUUAGAAAACACGAAAAACUUUAUGAAAUCUAGUUAGAAGGCGGAUUUAGCAGUAAAAAGAAACUAGAGAGUUCUUUUUAAUUUGGCACUGGGGUGUGUACACACCGCCCGUCACCCUCUUCAAAAUCUCAUUUAAUAGUAUUUAACUACUUCUCACUACAAGAAG
RNAcentral lists this ribosomal RNA (755 nucleotides) under Pithecopus hypochondrialis (orange-legged leaf frog). RNAcentral describes it as "Phyllomedusa hypochondrialis (orange-legged leaf frog) partial 12S ribosomal RNA". It matches the Rfam family "Bacterial small subunit ribosomal RNA", at positions 317 to 1450 of the family's 1533-position model. Lineage: Eukaryota; Metazoa; Chordata; Amphibia; Anura; Hylidae. The record is from RNAcentral.